RNAcentral lists this transfer RNA (75 nucleotides) under Coriobacteriaceae bacterium. Its description in RNAcentral is "tRNA-Thr". It matches the Rfam family "tRNA". Rfam says of the family: Transfer RNA (tRNA) molecules are approximately 80 nucleotides in length. Their secondary structure includes four short double-helical elements and three loops (D, anti-codon, and T loops). Further hydrogen bonds mediate the characteristic L-shaped molecular structure. tRNAs have two regions of fundamental functional importance: the anti-codon, which is responsible for specific mRNA codon recognition, and the 3' end, to which the tRNAs corresponding amino acid is attached (by aminoacyl-tRNA synthetases). tRNAs cope with the degeneracy of the genetic code in two manners: having more than one tRNA (with a specific anti-codon) for a particular amino acid; and 'wobble' base-pairing, i.e. permitting non-standard base-pairing at the 3rd anti-codon position. RNAcentral also lists the same sequence under 3 other names. The record is from RNAcentral. Lineage: Bacteria; Bacillati; Actinomycetota; Coriobacteriia; Coriobacteriales; Coriobacteriaceae.
GCCAGCGUGGCGCAACGGUAGCGCAGCGGUUUUGUAAACCGAGGGUUGCGGGUUCGAUUCCUGCCGCUGGCACCA